CGUGCCAGCAGCCGCGGUAAUACGGAGGAUGCGAGCGUUAUCCGGAAUCAUUGGGUUUAAAGGGUCCGUAGGCGGGCUGGUAAGUCAGAGGUGAAAGCACUCAGCUCAACUGAGUAACUGCCUUUGAAACUGUCAGUCUUGAAUGGUUGUGAAGUAGUUGGAAUGUGUAGUGUAGCGGUGAAAUGCUUAGAUAUUACACAGAACACCGAUAGCGAAGGCAUAUUACUAACAAUUAAUUGACGCUGAUGGGCGAAAGCGUGGGGAGCGAACAGGAUUAGAUACCCUGGUAGUCCACGCCGUAAACGAUGA
Molecule: ribosomal RNA, 309 nt
Filed under: uncultured bacterium
Lineage: Bacteria
Description: bacterial SSU rRNA
Rfam family: Bacterial small subunit ribosomal RNA
Source: RNAcentral